GCCUUAUACCUACAUCCCCAUCUUCGGACGGAAGAGGUCAAGCGCCCCACCCCAGAUUUGGCGGGGGAGUUUCCUCGCUCCCCCUCUCUCUACUCGUCUCACAGCUGCUGCUCCUUUGGAGUCACCCCUGACUUUGUAAUCUUAGCCCGAGACAGAAGGGACCCGUUUUCCUGCUCGAAUUUCAGGUGUCGCUGCCUGCCUCCGUGGCUUGGGAGAGGACUGGAUGGGUCUUUAAUUGUUGCAGAGGGUCGUUGGCCCGCAGGUGACUGGCUCUGCCUUUUGCUCCGCCACUGCCAGAUGCCUCCCCUGGAGUGGGUGCGCGGGCGCCACCCGGACCCCGUGCCCUGUGGCCCGGAGGUGCAGCCGAGGCUUUGGCGCGCUCAGCUCCGCAUCCCACGGGCCGGGGCUGGCGCUUCACGCGGUGGCCGCAGCCUUCCCGCCCGCCAGGCGCAUGGACAGCAGCUCGGCUCCAGUCGGCGCCCCGAAGCCUCCGCCGAACGCAGCACCGACGGACAGAUGGAUGGGCGGACGGACCGACCAGAAAUCCUAAAUAAAAUUAUGAAGAGCUAAACAAGCAGAACCAAGAGGACAUUUUAUAUACAGCAACAGAAAUAUUGUUUGAAGAAUAACUUAUGUAUGCCCACUUCCAUAAGAAGAACUG
RNAcentral lists this long non-coding RNA (661 nucleotides) under Monodelphis domestica (gray short-tailed opossum). Its description in RNAcentral is "lncRNA (ENSMODG00000042518.1)". The record is from RNAcentral. Lineage: Eukaryota; Metazoa; Chordata; Mammalia; Didelphimorphia; Didelphidae.